AGUCACCCAGCGUGGCUGGGGUAACCCAGUCAGAUGAACAGCAUAUAAAUAAUAAAUUAUUAUACUGUGGUAAUAAUAAUAAUAAUAAUAAUAAUUUAUUAUUUAUACCCCGCCCAUCUGGCUGGGCUUCCCCAGCCACUCUGGGCGGCU
Molecule: non-coding RNA, 150 nt
Organism: Podarcis lilfordi (Lilford's wall lizard)
Lineage: Eukaryota; Metazoa; Chordata; Lepidosauria; Squamata; Lacertidae
Source: the annotation of a GenBank genome assembly